CCUGGCCUCAAGUGAUCUGCCCAUCUUGGCCUUCAAAAGUGUUAGGAUUAUAGGCAUGAGCCACCGCGCCCAGCCGGUUGUUUUUAAUUGGAAAAAUAUGGAAUGCUUCAUGAAUUUGCAUGUCAUCCUUGUGCAGGGGCCAUGCUAAUCUUCUUUGUAUCGUUCCAAUUUUAGUAUAUGUGCUGCCAAAGCAAGCACCAGAGCUGAUGUUUUUUACGUCAAAAAGAGAUCCAUGGAUUGCAAACCCACCCAUCUGUGGCAUGGGGAAUGAUGCCAGAAUACCCUCCUUUAACAGAACCCAAAGGCAAAGAGCAUCAGAGCUGACCCUACUAGAAAAGACUGUACAUGACUGGGUGAAGAACUCCAUUGACUUGCCUCCAGUCUUUUCUAGCCAUGGAGCGGAAGCAUGAACUUAGAAGACAGGCCAUUGUGGACCAUCCUGGAUUUUGAAAAUGCUAGAAAGAGUCAGUGGAUGGGAGCUCUCUAAACCUUUGGACUCAUCUGUGUAUAGCAUGGGUUUCUUGGCCUCCUGGCCCACUCUAUUUUCAAUUGGAAAUCUGAAAAGUUUGCAUGUGAUAGGGAGGUUUGUAUCCCGGUAAGGGAGGAAGAGGCUGAAACUGUUUAUACUGGUGUCAUUCAUAAAAUCUUCUUAGUUCUUCUCCAUAGCUUCCUUGAGUUGAGCCUACUGGUCUAUCACAACAAUGAUGCUUCUGCCUGGAGGAAUGCAAAUACCACCUGGGUAAUUAAGUCUGUGAUCUUAAUUGUCUCCCACUUAAUUGCCUCUGAAGGCCAACCCUGCAGUGUUUUCUAUUUCCUCAGCCUGGCAUGUCUGCUUGUUUUGACUCAGCCUUCUGGAUAGCAUAUGGCUUCCACUAAGCCUGAGCCACCCAGCCUGCAACUACACAGCCCCUCCAGCCGCAGAGGUGGCCCAGUUGUUUCAGUGCUGCCAUUCUGCCUCAGCCUCAGCUUCAUGCGCCCUUACCCAUCUUAUGUGCUCAUUUUGUGCUCUCCUUUUCCCAAAUUCACUGUCAAACUCUUUUUUUUUUUUUUUUUUUUUGAGACGGAUUAUCUGUCACCCAGGCUGGAGUACGGUGGCGCGAUCUCGGUUCACUACAACCUCCACCUCCCGGGUUCAAGCGAUUCUCCUGCCUUAGCCUCCCGAGUAGCUGGGACUACAGGCGCCCGCCAACACGCCUGGCCAAUUUUUUUUUAGCAGAGGCGGGGUUUGGGGUUUCACCAUGUUAGCCAGGAUGGUCUCGAUCUCCACACCUCGUGAUCCGCCUGCCUCGGCCUCCCAAAGUGCUGGGAUUACAGGCGUGAGCCACCGAGCCCGGCCCACUGUCAAACUCUUGUUGGGGAAUUCUACUGUUACCUUGUAAAGAGAAAGAAGCGCUGCUUGUCAUGGUGUAAACACAAUCUGGAAAGAAAAGACUGUGCAGUGCAUUAGCAAUUAUAUUUAGGUUCUACGGAAAACUUAUAGUUAAAUUAUUAGGCAAAUUACUUUCAAUGUGUUCUUUGGUAUAAUUUGGUAUAUGCAGGAAAGACUUAUGAAAUAUUUUCAAAUACUUCAGCCUUCAUCAAUCUCAGAGUAGGUUUAAAAAUAAUUAAAAUAUAUUAAAAUACUUUUUUUAAGGGUCCAAUGAACUGGAUCUUGGUAGGCAAAGAAAAGUGUCAUGAGCCCGGGGAUGGUGGCUCUUACCUGUAAUCCCACCACUUUGGGAGGCUGAGGCGGACAGAUUGGUUGAGCUCAGGAGUUCUAGACCAGUCUGGACAACACGGUUUCUAACAAGAAGAAGUUUGAGACUAGCCUGGGCAAUAUAGUGAAACCCCAUCUCUACAAGAAAUACAAAAAUUAGCCAGGCAUGGUGAUGCAUACCUGCAGUCCCAGCUACUUGGGAGACUGAGGUGGGAGGAUUACCUGAGCCCAGAGAGGUUGAGGCUGCAGUGAGCCAUGUUCGCACCACUGCACUCCAGCCUGAGCGACAAUGCAAGACACUGUCUCAAAACAAACAAACAAACAAAAACAAAAAACAAAAAGGCCGGGCGCCAGUGGCUCAUGCCUGUAAUCCCAGCACUUUGGGAGGCCAAGGCAGGUGGACCACCUGAGGUCAGGAGUUCAAGACCAGCCUGGCCAACAUGGUGAAACCCUGUCUCCACUAAAAAUACAAAAACUAGCCGGGCGUGGCCGGGCGCGGUGGCUCACGCCUGUAAUCCCAACACUUUGGGAGGCUGAGGCAGGCAGAUCACGAGGUCAGGAGAUCGAGACCAUCCUAGCUAACACAGUGAAACCCUGUCUCUACUAAAAAUACUAAAAAACUAGCCGGGAGUGGUGGCGGGCACCUGUAGUCCCAGCUACUCGGGAGGCUGAGGCAGGAAAAUGGCCUGAACCCGGGAGGUGGAGCUUGCAGUGAGCCGAUGUCACACCACUGCACUCCAGCCUGGGCAACAGAGCGAGACGCCAUCUCAAAAACAAAUAAAUAAAUAAUAAAAACUAGCCAGGCGUGGUGGCGCACACCUGUAAUCUCAGCUACCUGGGAGGCUAAGGGCAGAAGAAUGGCUUGAACCUGGGAGGCAGAGGUCGCAGUGAGUCGAGACCGCGCCAUUAUACUCCAGCCUGGGCAACAGAGUGAGUCUCUGCCUCAAAAAAAAAAAAAAAAAAAAAAAAGUGUCAUGAAAUACUUAUCUGGAUAAAUCAGGAAAAUAUUUUAGUUUAAAUUUAUAAAAUCAUACAUUCUCUGGAUUCAUGGUGUUAUGGCAUAAGCAAGAUUUCACUGUACACAAGACUUUUUUGUUGUUGUUGUUGUUUUUUGAGACGGAGUCUCACUCAGUCACCCAGGCUGGAGUGCAGUGGCGCGAUCUCGGCUCACUGCAAGCUUCGCUUCCCGGGUUCACACCAUUCUCCUGCCUCAGCCUCCCGAGUAGCUGGGAUUACAGGCGCCUGCCACCACGCCCG
Molecule: long non-coding RNA, 2953 nt
Filed under: Homo sapiens (human)
Lineage: Eukaryota; Metazoa; Chordata; Mammalia; Primates; Hominidae
Description: HSALNT0032374
Source: RNAcentral